UGGGGAAUUUUGGACAAUGGGCGAAAGCCUGAUCCAGCAAUGCCGCGUGUGUGAAGAAGGCCUUCGGGUUGUAAAGCACUUUUGUCCGGAAAGAAAUCCUUGGCUCUAAUACAGUCGGGGGAUGACGGUACCGGAAGAAUAAGCACCGGCUAACUACGUGCCAGCAGCCGCGGUAAUACGUAGGGUGCAAGCGUUAAUCGGAAUUACUGGGCGUAAAGCGUGCGCAGGCGGUUUGCUAAGACCGAUGUGAAAUCCCCGGGCUCAACCUGGGAACUGCAUUGGUGACUGGCAGGCUAGAGUAUGGCAGAGGGGGGUAGAAUUCCACGUGUAGCAGUGAAAUGCGUAGAGAUGUGGAGGAAUACCGAUGGCGAAGGCAGCCCCCUGGGCCAAUACUGACGCUCAUGCACGAAAGCGUGGGGGAGCAAAACAGGAUUAGAUACCCUGGUAGUCCACGCCCUAAACGAUGUCAACUAGUUGUUGGGGAUUCAUUUCCUUAGUAACGUAGCUAACGCGUGAAGUUGACCGCCUGGGGAGUACGGUCGCAAGAUUAAAACUUAAAGGAAUUGACGGGGUC
RNAcentral lists this ribosomal RNA (574 nucleotides) under uncultured bacterium. RNAcentral's name for it is "partial 16S ribosomal RNA". It matches the Rfam family "Bacterial small subunit ribosomal RNA", at positions 355 to 920 of the family's 1533-position model. The record is from RNAcentral.